Molecule: ribosomal RNA, 301 nt
Filed under: uncultured bacterium
Lineage: Bacteria
Description: partial 16S ribosomal RNA
Rfam family: Bacterial small subunit ribosomal RNA
Source: RNAcentral
CAGCCGCCGCGGUAAUACGAAGGGUGCAAGCGUUAAUCGGAAUUAUUGGGCGUAAAGCGUGCGUAGGCGGUUUGUUAAGUCUGUUGUGAAAUCCCCGGGCUCAACCUGGGAAUUGCAGUGGAUACUGGGUCACUAGAGUGUGGUAGAGGAUAGUGGAAUUCCCGGUGUAGCGGUGAAAUGCGUAGAGAUCGGGAGGAACAUCAGUGGCGAAGGCGGCCAUCUGGGACAACACUGACGCUGAGGCACGAAAGCGUGGGAGCAAACAGGAUUAGAUACCCCGGUAGUCCCUGUCUCUUAUACA